This 484-nucleotide ribosomal RNA is filed under the name uncultured bacterium. RNAcentral's name for it is "partial 16S ribosomal RNA". It matches the Rfam family "Bacterial small subunit ribosomal RNA", at positions 30 to 507 of the family's 1533-position model. The record is from RNAcentral.
AUUGAACGCUGGCGGCAGGCCUAACACAUGCAAGUCGAGCGGAUGAAGGGAGCUUGCUCCUGGAUUCAGCGGCGGACGGGUGAGUAAUGCCUAGGAAUCUGCCUGGUAGUGGGGGAUAACGUCCGUAAACGGGCGCUAAUACCGCAUACGUCCUGAGGUAGAAAGUGGUGGUUCUUCGGACCUCACGCUAUCUGAUGAGCCUACGUCGGAUUAGCUAGUUGGUGGGGUAAAGGCCUACCAAGGCGACGAUCCGUAACUGGUCUGAGAGGAUGAUCAGUCACACUGGAACUGAGACACGGACAAGAAUACUAAGGGAGGCAGCAGUGGGGAAUAUUGGACAAUGGGCGAAAGCCUGAUAAAGCAAUGCCGAGUGUGUGAAGAAGGUCUUCGGAUUGUAAAGCACUUUAAGUUGGGAGGAAGGGAAGUAAGUUAAUACCUUGAUGUUUUGACGUUACCAACAGAAUAAGCAACGGCUAACUUCGUG